CGUUAUUCGUAUAAUAUUUAAAGACAACAUUAUAUUAUUAAGUAGGGUACACACCAUUAAAAUAUUUAAAUUGUACGAACUUUCGAAAUAUAGUUCAAAUAAUAAAUAAUAUUCUGAAAUAUUUAUUAUAAACGGCUUUCGUACAGCGAACUGAUUAAAACGAAGAAAAUAGCUCGUUAAACGCAACUUAUUAAAAAUUAAAUAAGCACUAAAAACAUUUAAGAGAUGAGGAAGGAGAGUACGUCCGGUGGGUUCUAUAUCAUUCAACGAUUUUGAUUAAAAUAUAUUCGAAAUAUUACCCUGCACCUACGCUGUAAACGUCACGUAUCAAUAAGGAAAACACUCACUUUUCGAAAUUGUUGAACAGAGAGGGGGGCGGGUUAAUAAUUAGGAAAUCGAAAGUUAAAGGAGCACCCAACUCACUACACAUUGUUUUAGGAAUUUAAGUACUAUAUAAAAAUUAAAAAUAAAUUGUUUAAUUUGAUUGGAUAACUUUUGAGUUACGGACUAACUUUAAGGGUUACGUCCUUACUACCCA
This is a non-coding RNA of Cinara cedri, 538 nucleotides long. The record is from the annotation of a GenBank genome assembly. NCBI's taxonomy places the organism in Eukaryota, Metazoa, Arthropoda, Insecta, Hemiptera, Aphididae.